UCUUGGAUUCUGGACAGAGCUCCCAAUUUGCUGUCAACAUUAGUUAGGCAUGGCUUGGGAUUUGGAUGAGGCUGAACCUAGGGAGUGAAUUCUUCUGUGUUUGAAACUGGGAAGACAAGGAAAAGCAAGGGCUGACACCAUUCCUGCCUAUGACUAACUUGCUGAUUUUAUAAGAGAAAUUCAAUUGCAUUAAGCCUUAUUUAGCCCAGCAAAAUGAAGGUGAUUACACUAUUUGAAAUCAGGGUCUUGGAACUAGAAACUUUUUGUCAUUUCUUCCAGAAAUAGGACACACCAUUGUAUGAUCCCGGUGUUUUUCAGUAAGUUAAAUGUUUGCAAAGGAAGGGACUGUUGACUAUUCUAAUGAAGACCGUUAAAAUAUCAUACUCAAAGUUGAAGGAGGAACAUUUUCAAGAUCAUUCAAGUUGAAUGAUCAGUGGAUUGGACAUUGAAAGGUUCUGCCCUCAGCUCAGCUGUUCACUGGACUCAUACCUUCUGUUUUUCAGAGGCUGGGGAUAUAACAAUGAAUAAAACAGAAAACAGGAAAAAAAAUGCGAUAAGAGAAGUAUCAAACUUCAGUAGAGAGAGCAAAUAUUUUCAGAUGUUGUUUGAUACUGGCUUUUAUAUUUUGAAAUAGUUUGUGUGAUUGAAUAAUUUUCUUGCUCCUUUUUUUCUUACACGUGUAGUUCAGAUGGUUCCUAGUAUGCUUGGCAACAUAGACAUUCUCAUAUAGACUCUGCCAGAUGGCCUGCUCAUUGUCUAAAUGCCUACUAGUUACAUCAUGCUAUAAUAGAUGUUAACACAGUUGUGGAGAGGAGGGUAAUGAUAGAUCCAUUAAGUAAGGGAUAUAGAGUGUUGGUCCGUUUGUUCCCCACCCCAACCCCUACCUUUUGGAAAACAUGAGUUAAACAAAGAAUAUAGUAAGUAAGUGUGCUACGAAGAAUGUUUAAUUUGGGGCUUCUGGAAAGAUAUUGUUCAAAGUGAAAAUAAAACCUUUCUAGAGAAUGCUAAAAUGAGUUCAGACUCAUAUCUGUCUUCCAUAAAUAUAUCUGCCCAAUCUGUCAAUGUUCUUGUAUAGUAAGACCAAAUGCAUUGUCCUGACCGUCAGUGCCCUGUGCCUUACCUUAUCUAGAUUGUAAUCCCUUUGAUGGCAGCAACCGUAUAAACUCUGUAAAUGCCACCUCGACUUCUCCUUUACUUUGCCUACCUGCAAACUCACUGGUCAUUUG
Non-coding RNA from Vicugna pacos (alpaca), 1226 nucleotides. The record is from RefSeq and is a predicted model, not a curated record. NCBI's taxonomy places the organism in Eukaryota, Metazoa, Chordata, Mammalia, Artiodactyla, Camelidae.